Non-coding RNA from Camelina sativa (false flax), 1669 nucleotides. The record is from RefSeq and is a predicted model, not a curated record. NCBI's taxonomy places the organism in Eukaryota, Viridiplantae, Streptophyta, Magnoliopsida, Brassicales, Brassicaceae.
AUAUAAAAUAACAAUAAGACACCAAAAAAAAAAGGGAAAAACCCCAUUUCUUUAGGGUUUAUUCGAGCUGUCCGUGACUUACGCGAUUUCAUAGAGGAGCUGUUUUGAAACAUCUCCAGUUAACGGUUUGAACAACAACAACAACAACAACUAAAAAAUGAGUCAAAUCAAUCUACCAUUUGAAGUUGGUCAUACUGUAGAGUUAAGAUCUUUUGAAUCGGGGUAUCGUGGAGCUUGGUUUCGAUGCAAGCAUUCUGAAGAUAUUCCAUAAAAGGACAGCACUAUGCUAUGAUGUGGAGUAUCUUGAUUAUCCCGGAGAGAGAAUACAUACAACAAAAGUGUUUCAGCAACUCGAUAGUGGGAGCGAGAAUUACCUAAUGAUUCGACCUGUGUUUCCAAGAAAGUUUCGUGAAGAUCAAGUCCUUAACGAGGAGGGUGGUCUGGAAGAAGCUCUUGUUGUUCAUGAUUCUUGGAAGGUUGGUGAUUUGGUCGACUGGUGGGAAGACUAUUGUUAUUGGUCUGGGACGGUUCUUCGAAGUCAGGGAAAAUGAGUCGCUACAGAUUGAAUUUGUUGGCUCCACCGUAUGGCGAAGGGUGUAUCUAUGAGGCUCUGUCUAAGGAUGUGCGUCCAUCAUUGGAAUGGUCACUUGAAGAUGGUUGGACUGUGCCUUUUUCUAAGGUUGGGGAAAAGAGGCAAUGUGCUAAGCUAAUGAAACAUUUGAAUGAAGUUACAUUAAAUGAAGUUAGUGGAGCUGAAUCUAUGGAAGACGAAAAGCAGGGACCUUCAGAUGAAGUAAGUGGAGCUGAAUCUAUGGAAGACGAAAAGCAGGGACCUUCAGAUGAAGUUAGUGGAGCCGAAUCUAAAGAUGAAGAAAAGCAGAGAGCCACAGAAAAGGUUAUUAGCGAUGGUGAUCUUCGGUUGAACAUCAUGGAAUCAGAGUCUGUGGAAGCUGCUGUCAUGGACUUGGAAGAGCUCAUUGUUCGUUUCGAGUGGCUGAAAGGCAAGUUAGGUCCUAAAUCUUCAGAAAAAGCUUCCUGGGUAUAUGAGGACUACCGUCCAUCCUCCUCAAGAAAGUGACAGGUUCUGAACAUAACAUACUAAAAAGUUCUCCUCUAGAUCAGAGUUUUGUACAAGUGGAGUAUAUUGAGUAGAAGAUGUAAAUGAGCAAAAGUCCUCAGGUGGAGAAGACUGGAAACUGAACAUAACUCUUUGUUUUUGAAAUGUCUGUCUUUUAGCAUAAAUAUCAACAGAACAUGAAGUUUUGGACCAAAACAAGAGUGAUAGAAUAUUACAUUCAUCAAAGACCAAUGAAACUAUUGAGUAUUGGAAAUUUCACUCACAAGAUUGUUUGCUAUUAAGGUAAUAAACUAUAAACUAUCUAAAAGACAGCGAUAAAGACUAACAAUGUAGUCUCGUGAUUCAUCACGGCCUAAUAAUCCAGAUCAUUCAACGAGUUUACUUUCGUCCUACAACUUCUGUUAUUCUCUAUGUUAAUGAAUGGAGACUUAGUAUCAUGUAACCGAGAACAAGAUAAGGUGAAAGAUGGAGAGACUAGACUCUUGUAAGCGACAGAGCUUAAUAUCGUAGCCUAAUAUGUUAGUGGUAAGUUGUUGGAAAUCAUUGCUAAGACAUAGAUUUAUAAAAUACUCAUAUCAAUCUUUGUUUCUA